This 458-nucleotide ribosomal RNA is filed under the name uncultured bacterium. RNAcentral describes it as "partial 16S ribosomal RNA". It matches the Rfam family "Bacterial small subunit ribosomal RNA", at positions 28 to 507 of the family's 1533-position model. The record is from RNAcentral.
GGUGAACGCUGGCGGCGUGCUUAAGACAUGCAAGUCGAACGGGCUCUUCGGAGCCAGUGGCGCACGGGUGAGUAACGCGUAACUGACCUACCCCAAAGUCGCGGAUAACGAUUCGAAAGAAUCGCUAAUACGUGAUGUGCUGUCAGAUCCUGUUCUGCCAGUAAAGAUUUAUUGCUUUGGGAUGGGGUUGCGUUCCAUCAGCUAGUUGGUGGGGUAAAGGCCCACUAAGGCGACGACGGAUCGCCGGCCUGAGAGGGUGGCCGGCCACAGGGGCACUGAGACACGGGUCCCACUCCUACGGGAGGCAGCAGUUAGAAAUCUUCCACAAUGGGCGAAAGCCUGAUGGAGCGACGCCGCGUGAGGGAUGAAGGUCUUCGGAUCGUAAACCUCUGAAUCAGGGACGAAAGACGCGAAAGCGGGAUGACGGUACCUGAGUAAUAGCACCGGCUAACUCCGUG